This 376-nucleotide ribosomal RNA is filed under the name uncultured bacterium. RNAcentral's name for it is "bacterial SSU rRNA". It matches the Rfam family "Bacterial small subunit ribosomal RNA", at positions 335 to 704 of the family's 1533-position model. The record is from RNAcentral.
ACUCCUACGGGAGGCAGCAGUGGGGAAUAUUGCACAAUGGGCGCAAGCCUGAUGCAGCCAUGCCGCGUGUGUGAAGAAGGCCUCGGUUGUAAAGCACUUUCAGUUGUGAGGAAGGUGGUGUCGUUAAUAGCGGCAUCAUUUGACGUUAGCAACAGAAGAAGCACCGGCUAACUCCGUGCCAGCAGCCGCGGUAAUACGGAGGGUGCGAGCGUUAAUCGGAAUUACUGGGCGUAAAGCGCAUGCAGGUGGUUUGUUAAGUCAGAUGUGAAAGCCCGGGGCGUCAACCUCGGAACUGCAUUUGAAACUGGCAGACUAGAGUACUGUAGAGGGGGUAGAAUUUCAGGUGUAGCGGUGAAAUGCGUAGAGAUCGUGAAGG